AUACGUAGGGGGCGAGCGUUGUCCGGAAUUAUUGGGCGUAAAGGGUUCGUAGGCGGUCUUUUAAGUCAGAUGUGAAAGGUCACGGCUCAACCGUGGUAAGCAUUUGAAACUGAGAGACUUGAGUUAAGGAGAGGAAAGUGGAAUUCCUAGUGUAGCGGUGAAAUGCGUAGAUAUUAGGAGGAAUACCAGUGGCGAAGGCGACUUUCUGGACUUAUACUGACGCUGAGGAACGAAAGCGUGGGGAGCAAACAGGAUUAGAUACCCUGGUAGUCCACGCCGUAAACGAUGAGUGCUAGGUGUUGGGGGUCAAACCUCGGUGCCGCAGCUAACGCAUUAAGCACUCCGCCUGGGGAGUACGUACGCAAGUAUGAA
This 372-nucleotide ribosomal RNA is filed under the name uncultured bacterium. RNAcentral describes it as "bacterial SSU rRNA". It matches the Rfam family "Bacterial small subunit ribosomal RNA", at positions 523 to 898 of the family's 1533-position model. The record is from RNAcentral.